CUGGUCUUGACAUCCACAGAACUUUCCAGAGAUGGAUUGGUGCCUUCGGGAACUGUGAGACAGGUGCUGCAUGGCUGUCGUCAGCUCGUGUUGUGAAAUGUUGGGUUAAGUCCCGCAACGAGCGCAACCCUUAUCCUUUGUUGCCAGCGGUCCGGCCGGGAACUCAAAGGAGACUGCCAGUGAUAAACUGGAGGAAGGUGGGGAUGACGUCAAGUCAUCAUGGCCCUUACGACCAGGGCUACACACGUGCUACAAUGGCGCAUACAAGGAGAAGCAAUCUCGCGAGAGCAAGCGGACCUCAUAAAGUGCGUCGUAGUCCGGAUUGGAGUCUGCAACUCGACUCCAUGAAGUCGGAAUCGCUAGUAAUCGUGAAUCAGAAUGUCACGGUGAAUACGUUCCC
RNAcentral lists this ribosomal RNA (400 nucleotides) under uncultured Enterobacter sp. RNAcentral's name for it is "bacterial SSU rRNA". It matches the Rfam family "Bacterial small subunit ribosomal RNA", at positions 975 to 1375 of the family's 1533-position model. Lineage: Bacteria; Pseudomonadati; Pseudomonadota; Gammaproteobacteria; Enterobacterales; Enterobacteriaceae. The record is from RNAcentral.